AUCCUCAUGGCCCAAUGGUUAAGGCGUUCGGCUACGAACCGAAAGAUUCCAGGUUCGAAUCCUGGUGGGGAUG
Lizanozyma spartinae is the source of this 73-nucleotide non-coding RNA. NCBI's taxonomy places the organism in Eukaryota, Fungi, Ascomycota, Pichiomycetes, Serinales, Debaryomycetaceae. The record is from the annotation of a RefSeq genome assembly.